RNAcentral lists this ribosomal RNA (418 nucleotides) under uncultured Streptococcus sp. RNAcentral's name for it is "bacterial SSU rRNA". It matches the Rfam family "Bacterial small subunit ribosomal RNA", at positions 964 to 1382 of the family's 1533-position model. Lineage: Bacteria; Bacillati; Bacillota; Bacilli; Lactobacillales; Streptococcaceae. The record is from RNAcentral.
GUAACCUUUACCAGGUUCUUGACAUCCCGAUGCUUAUUUCUAGAGAUAGAAAGUUACUUCGGUACAUCGGUGACAGGUGGUGCAUGGUUGUCGUCAGCUCGUGUCGUGAGAUGUUGGGUUAAGUUCCGCAACGAGCGCAACCCCUAUUGUUAGUUGCCAUCAUUCAGUUUGGGCACUCUAGCGAGACUGCCGGUAAUAAACCGGAGGAAGUGGGAUGACGUCAAAUCAUCAUGCCCCUUAUGACCUGGGCUACACACGUGCUACAAUGGUUGGUACAACGAGUUGCGAGUCGGUGACGGCGAGCUAAUCUCUUAAAGCCAAUCUCAGUUCGGAUUGUAGGCUGCAACUCGCCUACAUGAAGUCGGAAUCGCUAGUAAUCGCGGAUCAGCACGCCGCGGUGAAUACGUUCCCGGGCCUU